AAGGCGACGACGGGUAGCCGGCCUGAGAGGGCGACCGGCCACACUGGGACUGAGACACGGCCCAGACUCCUACGGGAGGCAGCAGUGGGGAAUAUUGCACAAUGGGCGGAAGCCUGAUGCAGCGACGCCGCGUGAGGGAUGACGGCCUUCGGGUUGUAAACCUCUUUCAGCAGGGAAGAAGCGAAAGUGACGGUACCUGCAGAAGAAGCGCCGGCUAACUACGUGCCAGCAGCCGCGGUAAUACGUAGGGCGCAAGCGUUGUCCGGAAUUAUUGGGCGUAAAGAGCUCGUAGGCGGCUUGUCGCGUCGGAUGUGAAAGCCCGGGGCUUAACCCCGGGUCUGCAUUCGAUACGGGCAGGCUAGAGUUCGGUAGGGGAGAUCGGAAUUCCUGGUGUAGCGGUGAAAUGCGCAGAUAUCAGGAGGAACACCGGUGGCGAAGGCGGAUCUCUGGGCCGAUACUGACGCUGAGGAGCGAAAGCGUGGGGAGCGAACAGGAUUAGAUACCCUGGUAGUCCACGCCGUAAACGGUGGGAACUAGGUGUUGGCGACAUUCCACGUCGUCGGUGCCGCAGCUAACGCAUUAAGUUCCCCGCCUGG
Molecule: ribosomal RNA, 596 nt
Filed under: Streptomyces sp.
Lineage: Bacteria; Bacillati; Actinomycetota; Actinomycetes; Kitasatosporales; Streptomycetaceae
Description: bacterial SSU rRNA
Rfam family: Bacterial small subunit ribosomal RNA
Source: RNAcentral